UGGGGAAUAUUGCACAAUGGGCGCAAGCCUGAUGCAGCGACGCCGCGUGAGGGAUGAAGGCCUUCGGGUUGUAAACCUCUUUCAGUAGGGAAGAAGCUGAUCUUUCGGGGUUGGUGACGGUACCUGCAGAAGAAGCGCCGGCUAACUACGUGCCAGCAGCCGCGGUAAUACGUAGGGCGCAAGCGUUAUCCGGAAUUAUUGGGCGUAAAGAGCUCGUAGGCGGUUUGUCGCGUCUGCCGUGAAAGUCCGGGGCUUAACCCCGGAUCUGCGGUGGGUACGGGCAGACUAGAGUGCAGUAGGGGAGACUGGAAUUCCUGGUGUAGCGGUGAAAUGCGCAGAUAUCAGGAGGAACACCGAUGGCGAAGGCAGGUCUCUGGGCUGUAACUGACGCUGAGGAGCGAAAGCAUGGGGAGCGAACAGG
This 421-nucleotide ribosomal RNA is filed under the name uncultured bacterium. Its description in RNAcentral is "bacterial SSU rRNA". It matches the Rfam family "Bacterial small subunit ribosomal RNA", at positions 355 to 776 of the family's 1533-position model. The record is from RNAcentral.